Molecule: ribosomal RNA, 324 nt
Filed under: uncultured eukaryote
Lineage: Eukaryota
Description: partial 18S ribosomal RNA
Rfam family: Eukaryotic small subunit ribosomal RNA
Source: RNAcentral
CCCUUAGAUGUCCUGGGCUGCACGCGCGCUACACUGAUGUGUCCAGUAAGCACCUAACCUAUUCCGAGAGGAGCGGGUAACCUUAGCAAAGCACAUCGUGAUGGGGAUAGAUUAUUGCAAUUAUUAGUCUUGAACGAGGAAUUCCUAGUAAGCAUAAGUCAUCAGCUUGUGUUGAUUACGUCCCUGCCCUUUGUACACACCGCCCGUCGCUCCUACCGAUUGAAUGUUCCGGUGAGCUCUUCGGACUGCGCGGUCUGCAGUUUCUGCGUUCCGUGCGGAAAGUUGUGCAAACCUUAACAUUUAGAGGAAGGAGAAGUCGUAACA